RNAcentral lists this ribosomal RNA (468 nucleotides) under uncultured bacterium. RNAcentral describes it as "partial 16S ribosomal RNA". It matches the Rfam family "Bacterial small subunit ribosomal RNA", at positions 28 to 507 of the family's 1533-position model. The record is from RNAcentral.
GACGAACGCUGGCGGCGUGCUUAACACAUGCAAGUCGAACGGAAAGGCCCUGCUUUUGUGGGGUGCUCGAGUGGCGAACGGGUGAGUAACACGUGAGUAACCUGCCCUUGACUUUGGGAUAACUUCAGGAAACUGGGGCUAAUACCGGAUAGGAGCUCCUGCUGCAUGGUGGGGGUUGGAAAGUUUCGGCGGUUGGGGAUGGACUCGCGGCUUAUCAGCUUGUUGGUGGGGUAGUGGCUUACCAAGGCUUUGACGGGUAGCCGGCCUGAGAGGGUGACCGGCCACAUUGGGACUGAGAUACGGCCCAGACUCCUACGGGAGGCAGCAGUGGAGAAUAUUGCACAAUGGGCGGAAGCCUGAUGCAGCAACGCCGCGUGCGGGAUGCCGGCCUUCGGGUUGUAAACCGCUUUCGCCUGUGACGAAGCGUGAGUGACGGUAAUGGGUAAAGAAGCACCGGCUAACUACGUG